Molecule: ribosomal RNA, 427 nt
Filed under: uncultured bacterium
Lineage: Bacteria
Description: bacterial SSU rRNA
Rfam family: Bacterial small subunit ribosomal RNA
Source: RNAcentral
UGGGGAAUUUUGGACAAUGGGCGCAAGCCUGAUCCAGCCAUGCCGCGUGAGUGAAGAAGGCCCUCGGGUUGUAAAGCUCUUUUGUCCGGAAAGAAAAGCUUCGGGUUAAUACCCCGGGGUUCUGACGGUACCGGAAGAAUAAGCACCGGCUAACUUCGUGCCAGCAGCCGCGGUAAUACGAAGGGUGCAAGCGUUACUCGGAAUUACUGGGCGUAAAGCGUGCGUAGGUGGUUGUUUAAGUCUGAUGUGAAAGCCCUGGGCUCAACCUGGGAAUGGCAUUGGAAACUGGGCAGCUAGAGUGCGGUAGAGGGUAGUGGAAUUCCCGGUGUAGCAGUGAAAUGCGUAGAGAUCGGGAGGAACAUCUGUGGCGAAGGCGACUGCCUGGACCAGCACUGACACUGAGGCACGAAAGCGUGGGGAGCAAACA